GUAACAAGGUCUCCGUUGGUGAACCAGCGGAGGGAUCAUUACUGA
Molecule: ribosomal RNA, 45 nt
Filed under: Colletotrichum graminicola
Lineage: Eukaryota; Fungi; Ascomycota; Sordariomycetes; Glomerellales; Glomerellaceae
Also listed under: 4 other names
Description: partial 18S ribosomal RNA
Source: RNAcentral